RNAcentral lists this ribosomal RNA (460 nucleotides) under uncultured bacterium. Its description in RNAcentral is "partial 16S ribosomal RNA". It matches the Rfam family "Bacterial small subunit ribosomal RNA", at positions 338 to 795 of the family's 1533-position model. The record is from RNAcentral.
CCUACGGGCGGCAGCAGUGAGGAAUAUUGGUCAAUGGACGGGAGUCUGAACCAGCCAAGUAGCGUGAAGGAUGACUGCCCUAUGGGUUGUAAACUUCUUUUAUCUGGGAAUAAAAUGUUCCACGUGUGCGCUUUUGUAUGUACCCUGUGAAUAAGGCUCGGCUAACUCCGUUCCAACAGACGCGGUUAUUCGGGGGAUCCGAACGUUAUCCGGGUUUAUUGGGGUUAAAGGGAGGGUAGGGCGAUUUUUUAGGCAGUUGGUAAAGUGUGCGGCGCAACCGUAAAAUUGCAGUUGAAACUGGGAGUCUUGAGUAGAGUAGAGGUGGGCGGAAUGCGUGGUGUAGCGGUGAAAUGCAUAGAUAUCACGCAGAACUCCGAUUGCGAAGGCAGCUCACUGGACUGCAACUGACACUGAGGCACGAAAGCGUGGGUAUCAAACAGGAUUAGAUACCCCUGUAGUC